This 889-nucleotide long non-coding RNA is filed under the name Homo sapiens (human). Its description in RNAcentral is "HSALNT0242117". Lineage: Eukaryota; Metazoa; Chordata; Mammalia; Primates; Hominidae. The record is from RNAcentral.
GUCAGUCCUGCUCCCCGAGCCUGUGUCUCUCUGUCCCCUGCCCAGAGGAAGGGGGAAGCCAGGGGCCCAUUUGGGGGCCCAGCCCCCAAUCCCACCCAGCAGAGGAAGCCAAGGUCGGGGCAGCUGUGAUUGCUCCCUGGUCCUGGAGAGGAAACUGGCCAUCUGCUUUAUCUGAAGAUUUUCAGCUGAUGAAGAACUAGGAGGCUCAAACACUAUCUUACCUGAGUCCAGGACAAGUGACUUGGAGAGUGUGCUCUUCUGUGGCAGGAUCAGGUCUGUCUAGGGCAGGAUGGCCCAGGAUCUCAGCGAGAAGGACCUGUUGAAGAUGGAGGUGGAGCAGCUGAAGAAAGAAGUGAAAAACACAAGAAUUCCGAUUUCCAAAGCGGGAAAGGAAAUCAAGGAGUACGUGGAGGCCCAAGCAGGAAACGAUCCUUUUCUCAAAGGCAUCCCUGAGGACAAGAAUCCCUUCAAGGAGAAAGGUGGCUGUCUGAUAAGCUGAUGGCAUGGAGCCCUGCCCUGAGUGUCUGUCCCUCUUCAGCCAAGCCCAAGUCUCCUAGACCCCCAGGGAGCCAGUGAACUGUCACCUUCUCUUCAUCACAGAAUGAGUAAAGAUCCCUGAACAAAUGCAUUGUGAACCCAUUCCCCACUCCCACCUUCAACUCUUUUCUCCCAUUAUUUCCUCCACCUGCUGGGUCUCUGCUGACCUUGCUGGGAACACUCUGAGGACAGUGUGGCUGGCCGAGCGGUUGGCCCCAUGGGUGGUGGGGUGUGAGAAGCCUGCAAUACCCCAAGACCCCAGAGGGCAGUCCUUAGGAAGCACUUACACCACCUGGGAACCCCUCCGUCUUUUCCCUCUACUCUCAUCCUAGGAAUAAAGCAUUUCCACGCC